UACGGAGGGUGCAAGCGUUGACCGGAAUCAUUGGGUGUAAAGGGUGCGUAGGCGGGAGCCUAAGUCGGAGGUGAAAUCUUGCCGCUUAACGGUAAAAUUGCCUUCGAUACUGGGUUUCUUGAGUGCAGAAGAGGUCGGUGGAAUUCGUAGUGUAGCGGUGAAAUGCAUAGAUAUCAGGAGGAACACCAACGGCGAAGGCGGCCAACUGGUCCGAUACUGACGCUGAGACACGAAAGCGUGGGGAGCGAACAGG
This 253-nucleotide unclassified non-coding RNA is filed under the name uncultured Bacteroidota bacterium. Its description in RNAcentral is "uncultured Bacteroidetes bacterium contains 16S-23S intergenic spacer region". It matches the Rfam family "Bacterial small subunit ribosomal RNA", at positions 524 to 776 of the family's 1533-position model. The record is from RNAcentral. Lineage: Bacteria; Pseudomonadati; Bacteroidota.